This 58-nucleotide small RNA is filed under the name Sinorhizobium meliloti 2011. RNAcentral describes it as "putative ncRNA". The record is from RNAcentral. Lineage: Bacteria; Pseudomonadati; Pseudomonadota; Alphaproteobacteria; Hyphomicrobiales; Rhizobiaceae.
UCGUUCGGCAAGAUCGGCUCUUGGCGCAUCGUGCCCAUUCCGACUAUGAGACGCGCUU